RNAcentral lists this ribosomal RNA (377 nucleotides) under uncultured bacterium. RNAcentral describes it as "bacterial SSU rRNA". It matches the Rfam family "Bacterial small subunit ribosomal RNA", at positions 523 to 898 of the family's 1533-position model. The record is from RNAcentral.
AUACGUAGGUGGCGAGCGUUGUCCGGAAUUACUGGGUGUAAAGGGCGUGUAGGCGGGAAGACAAGUCCGAUGUGAAACCCCACGGCUUAACUGUGGGACUGCAUCUGAAACUGUUUUUCUUGAGUACUGGAGAGGGAAGUGGAAUUCCUAGUGUAGCGGUGAAAUGCGUAGAUAUUAGGAGGAACACCAGUGGCGAAGGCGGCUUCCUGGACAGAAACUGACGCUGAGGCGCGAAAGCGUGGGGAGCAAACAGGAUUAGAUACCCUGGUAGUCCACGCCGUAAACGAUGGAUACUAGGUGUAGGAGGUAUCGACCCCUUCUGUGCCGGAGUUAACACAAUAAGUAUCCCACCUGGGGAGUACGGCCGCAAGGUUGAA